UGGUGGGACAGCACCGUGUAAGGCAGACAUGUCGGGGGUCCGGGUGGUGUCGCGGCUCCUGGGCGCCCGGCGCCUGGCACUGACUAGGGCGGUGAGUCGGCGCCGUGGGGCGGGCAGGGCGCGGGGAGCCGAGGAGGGGCAGGACUUCCCACGGGGCGGAGCGGACGCCGAGUCCCCCCGGCGCCGGACCGGGACGGGGUCGCGAGGGUCUGGGGGAGGAUGCGGUGAGGAGGCCGCCCGAAGGGGUGGGGCCGACCCGGAGGGCCGCGGGACUCCUUCUGAAGCCAGCGAGUCGCGUCCCGGUGAAGGUCAUGACCCCGCUUGCCGUCCCCGGGGACCCUUCCCCAGAGUACUAAGGUCGCCCCCGCCCCAGCCUUCGGCGCGUGGGGAGGCGUGUUUGCCCGAGGUCACCCUGACAGGUGGCGGCCCGUGGGUGCCCCGGGCCUCUGAAUCCAAAAGCGCCCUUAGAUCUCCGGCGGAGGCGGGCCGGCAACCGCAGGCGCGCGCCGGCCGGGCGCUGUGCCGAUCGCCCUGGGGACGGUCCGUCGGGUGCCAGCAGCCCCGAGGACCCGGCCGGGCUCGGCCCUCCCGCCCCAGGCAGGGUAGGUGGGAGGCACGUCUGACACCGGCGCUGGCGCUUGCCUGGCAACUGUUUGCAAAACCGCGCUUCUUCGGGGAAAGCGAAGACCCGUGUUUCACACCGGGAUCUGGCAACUUUUGGACCUUCAUUUUGGGUUUUGUAUGGUGGCCUUUUGCGCACAUUAGAAAACCAGGCGAAGAACGUCAGCGCUCUGACCGCAGACCACGUUCGGGCGACGGCGCCGGGAAGUCUGAUUUCCCGUGCGUUGUCUGCCCGGACUCCGGUCAGUCGUGGAUGACCGUCAGGGUUGUGCCUUCUGGAGCCCUUGCUUACCGGAUUGUGUCAGAUGUACUCCUUACAGUUACGUCUUCAGGAUCUACCUUUUCAGGUUUUAUUUCAGCACACUAAACUUGGAGGGGUUGUUGUUUGGGUUCUUUUAUAUGAUCCGCCUGCCCACCUACUUAGUAAUGUAAUUACAGAGUGAAAAUCCCAGUGGGAACCGAGGCAUUCAACAGUAUUGACAGGAGUUAUGCCUGUAGUUAUACCUGCAAUUUUCUCCAUUUUGAAAUACAGAUACUAAAAAUUAAGUUAAAUGUGAGAAGGUUAACUCCGCCAUCCUGCCAAUGCCAGAGAACGUUUUCAAUGCUUUCUCGUGCUGCUGUGGUUGAUGCUUCCUGAGCAGAGGUCCCCACUCUCCACACCCCACCCAUCUUGGGCUCUAAGUCCACAAGCUGGAUGGGCAGUGGGAUAUUCUUCGGCAAACGUGAGCAGACUUCUUAGUGCCUCCUGCUUGUUAAGUGCAGUGACCAGUAACUGGUGGUGCUGGGAGAAGAGCUAAACAUGUGUGUCCUCGGUCACCCCAGCGUUCUUGUGCAGACUAAGACCCCUCCAGUCUGUGGAACUCCCUUGACCACCUGCCUGCCCUUUGUUUAUGACCUUGUUGUCCUUUAUGUAAACUGGACUAGAAUUCUAGCUCUGAGCUCUGAGCUGCAAGUGAGAAUAAGAUUCUGAGCACCACUGGUCAGAGUGUGUAAACCUGUACUUUUGUAUUGGCUUGAUUGGAAGUUAUCUUGGUUGAAUCAACUAUUAGCUGCCAGCAUUUACCCUUCUUUUUACCUUGAUGAAGAUAGCUUUUCCUGUGGAAAUUAAUUCUGCCCCCAAGCAGUAUAUGUAGUGGAAUUUAAGAUUGGCAAAAACAAAAGCAUCAACUUAGAACAACAACAACGAAAUGUAUGAUCACCAACUGAGAAAUGUGCACGGAGAGUAGAUGAUGAGGGUAGUUUGAAUAAAAUCCACAGAGAAUUUUUCUUGAUUUCAUUUUGUUCAAUUCUCUGGUGUUUCCAAGGCAGUUUAUAUUUACAGCUGCUUUCAAGUUGCAAAAUCAUCAAACCUAUUUUGCGUUGGUUUCAUUUUUAGUUAUCUUAAUGCACUGACAUAAUUUGCAGACUGUUCUGGUGUAUUGAAAGGAAAAGUAAAAGCAAGGUCCUUAAAUAGUUGCUGGUUAAUUGCUUCAGAUGAGAUUUUUCAAAUUCUUUAACAUGGAUAUCCAAAGUACUGUUCUAGAGUAAGUCAGUUUUUCUUUGAAUGUAUUGUUUUGAAUUUGGCUUAAUGAUGUAUCUAGAAUUACAUUAUUUAGGCCAUUGUGGUAACCUUUUUUGUUUUCCUUUUUGGGGUAAUUGUACCGCUGUGGCAUUCAUUUCUGCAUUCUGUGGGAUGUUUUUCCUGGUUCACUGGAAAAAUUGUGGCUUGGUUUUGAUACGUAAUCUGGAUAUGCAUCUUAUUUUGGAGUCCCAGAGAUUUUUCCUAAGGCUCCUUACCUAGGGGGGAUGUACUGAAUCUGGUACCAGCCAGGCAGACCAGAGUUCAGACCCUGGAUAGACUCCAUUUCUCUUUCAUGAGGGUUCUGGGAGGUAGCCUGUGACGCCCUGGUGUGGUGAUCAUUCUAGCCAGGACCUACACCUACAGCCUGUGCUCGAUAAUCUUGUGAAUUGUAUUCUAAGCAUCCCUGUUUUAAAAACCUUUAAACUUCUAAUGAAAAUAAUUACACAUAGUUAUAAAAAAAAAAGUCAAGGAAUACAGAGGCUUUAUAAAUGAAAAGGAUUGAGACCCUCUCCUAACCUCAGACCUGUUCCCCAGUGAAAUCACUUCUGAAUUGUUUCUGUUAUUGGCCGCUGGUGUUUACCUCCAUGUCUCUAGCUAAUGUGCAGGCUUACGUUCAUCCAUUUUGGACUUUGACUUGUGGCUCUGAAUGAGGACUCAGUUCGCUUAAACCAUCUUCCCCCAUCCUCAGUUCUUCCCAUGGCCUUCCAAGGCACUUUCAGAGCCUUUAUGGGCUGCUUUUCUUAUUAUACAGAUUGUACUUACAAAUAGUUUCUUGUCUGCAAUUCAUAGGUGAACGCUAUCAGAUGGGGACCUGUACUUCGCUAGAUUAAGGGUUUCAAUAUCUCUGCCCUUCUCUUCAGUUUUCUCCCUUUUACCAUUUAAGUCAUUCACUUGUGCUUUCAUGUCAUUAAAAGCUCUGUUUCUUUUAAUUCUGCCUCCAAGGCAGAUUUCCUCACGCUUCUUUACGUUUCCCUGUUGGAAAAUGUUUGAUAGUUUUACUUCAAAAAAUGUUAAAUAGUUUUAUUUAUAGACAAAUUGGGUUAAUUUUGGGCUCUCCAGAUUCUAAAAUUGCUCCUCAAAUCCGAUUUGGAUAAAAAGCUAGUAUUCUAUUUUCCACAGGGAGAUAGUAUGAUAAUUUGUUAGAGAUUUCAUUUUAACAGCUGCCAGUGUUUGAGAUGGCCGUGUGUGUCUAUCUUUAUUUAACGUGAACAUCCUAGAAAGAAGAAAUAAAUACUUAGGGAAUCUCACUGUUACUAUUUUACUUUUUUACAGUUCAACUUAAGCAGGUAAGUUUAAUGAUCAGAACAAAAAUGGGAUCGCUUAGGAAAAACUAUAUAAAAGACGCUUUACAGUAUAAUAUGUCCUUUUCAUGUUGAUUAUUUUUAUAGGAUUUAAUAUGUGAUUAUUCUUCAGUUUUCUGAAUUAAAAUUGUUCAGGUGGCCAUAAAAUCUGGAAACAUAGACAAAUAUACAUAAUAAAUAGUUUACUCAUAUUCCAACAAAUGUUCAAUGAAUGUGCUGUUCCUCAUUAGCAUUUCAUACUUUAACAAGUUAUGCAAAACUGCAUGUGCACCAAAGCACUAUUUCCAUCAAUCCUCGUACAUCCACCUACAACGAAUCGCUUGUGGGGAUUUGUGUGUCUCACUUUCCCUGAAUAAACGUGUGCCUUUAGCACACCCAAGGUGUAAUUAAGGAAGAAGUGUCUGUCAUCUGUGUUUCUGGAUUGUGUGGUCCUGUUUUUGGUUUUGUUUUUUUUUUUAAGUUUCACCUACUAUAAGUCUUAAAAACAUUUUUGACCAUUCGUAUUAUACCAAGAAAAAAGAUGAAUACUAAAUACAAGCUAAUGGAAAAACAAAAAUUCAUUUGUUUUACCUUUCUAUUCCACAUCACAACAUUUUACUGAAAAUGAAGGGAUUUUUCAUCUAUAGAUAAAAGACUCUAAAUGGUACUUAGGUUGUUUUACAAGUUUGAUUUUAAAAUCGUUUAGAAUUCACAAUGGGUCUUACACACAAUGAUUUCAAUAAAUCAGGCACUCCAGAGCACAAUUGGAGGUGUAACAAUUAUGUGAUGACUUCUUAACAGUCCAAGGAGAUAAAGACCUUUUUUUCAAAUAUGGAAAGAAAUUAAUCUUUCUGCAGUAUUAACCCCUAAAAGCUAUCUUCCUUUAUAGACUACAAUAUUAUUGUCAAUUUAAUAUACUUUUAUUUUUUUUAAUCUUAUUUUUAAUGUUUGUUUUACUUUUGAGAGACACAUCCAGUGCGAACGGGGGAGGGACAGAGAGAGAGGGAGGCGCAGAAUCCUAAGCAGGCUCCAGGCUCUGAGCUGUCAGCACAGAGCCUGAUGCAGGGCUUGAACCCAUGAACCGUGAUAUCAUGACCUGAGCCGAAGUCAGAUGCUUAUCUGACUGAGCCACCCAGGCACCCCCAUAUACUUUUAAAAAGAACUCCCAGAGGAAGAAAUUUCUGGAGGUUUUCCCAAAUAUAUACAGCUACUUUUUCUGUCAUGCUUACAACAUCUGCAAAGUACGGAAUGUUCAAAUGCAGAUUCUUAUGAUCAAGGGGCUCCAUAAUUGCCUCCUCCAUAUACUCUUUGAGGUCAGUCACUUUCAUAACUAUUCCUGUAAUAGGAUCAAUCUCUCCAUGUACUGUCACCACAACUUUAUAAUUGUGCACGUGGCCAUUUGGAUUGUUGGCAUUCCCAAACAAUUUCAAGUUUUCUUCAUUACUCAGAGAUGUGCUGUGGAGCCAGUAGGUCGCUCUGAGGGAGAUGAGGUGGGACAGUUGCGUGGUGUUCUUGGCUUGCCUUCCCACUUGGUUGGUGGUGGGGCUGGGACAGGCUCUCUGUUUCUAUUUUGAUUUCAAUUUGGUAUUGUAAAAUGUAUUGUUCUUUUUUGGAACUAUUACCUUUAUCUUGUACUUCAUUAAAAUUUCAUGAACAUUUGUAUUUUGCUGACUUGGUUAUUUGUUAAGAUGUGAUUUUUACCAUUUAAAAAUUAUACUAAAGCAGAAGAAUAUUCUUUUUAAGUUUUUUAAUUCGUUUACUGGACAAAAAGUUGACUUAUGUCAAUAAAAACAAAAGUACUUAUGGGCGCUUGGGUGGCUUAGUCGCUUAAGCAUCUGACUUUAGCCCACAUCAUGGUCUUGUGGUCCAUGAGUUCGAGCCCUGUGUUGGGUUCUGUGCUGACAGCUAAGAGCCUGGAGUCUGCUUCAGAUUCUGUGUCUCCCUCUCUCUCUGCCCCUCCCUGGCUUGUGCUCUCUCUUUCUCAAAAAUAAAUAAACAUUAAAAAAUACAUAUAUACUUAAAGUUGAAAUUGGAGAAUUCAAGAAUAUUGCAUUUAUCAGUUCAGGUCUACUUAGAAAUUCAAGAAACUUCUUUGUAAUUGGAACUGUUAGCAUAAAGUCAACUAUUUGUGGCAGGCAUCAUUUGGUCUCAGUGCUUAAGAAAGUCUAAAAAAAUAUUUUUAAGUUAUUCUUGAGAGAGAGAGCGAGAGGUGGGGAGGGGCAGAGAGAGAGAGAGGGAGAGAGUGAGCAUCCCAAGCAGGCUCUGCACUGUCAGCACAGAGCCCAGAUGCAGGCCUAGAACUCAUGAACUGUGAGAUCGUGACCUGAGCCAAAACCAAGAGUCAGUUGCUUAACUGACUGAGCCACUCAGGUGCCCCUAAAUGCUAAAGAAAGUCUAGAGGUUGGAGCCACCUGCUCCAUUUGCAAGCGGCCAAGCCCUCCAGCCUGGCCUGAGGCCAUUAAUCUUCAAAGAAAGUCCUUCUGUUCAAAACCACUCAGAGUUCAUUUUGUAUUUUGCCAAAUUCUCCUCCCUGAAUUCUCCACUUGUUUGUCCUACAGAAUAAUUUUUUUACCCCACAGAAUAAAUAGCAUCUCUUCCAAACUGCAGAAUACUCGAAGACAUCUCUCAUAUCCCCUUUGUCAUUGUUAAACAUACUUAAUUCCUAAAACUGUUCAUGAAAUUGCUAAGACUUCAUUUUAUCAGUAGCCGUCUAAAAUGCAGUCAUAGAACAGAAAGACAUGCCUUAUAAGUUGGUUUUCAUAUAAAGAAGAUGGCCCCUCAGGCUGGGCUGUGAUUUCAUUAAUACCAAUUUUCUUGAGUAAAUGUGUUCAUAGGGUGGAACAUUUAAGCCAAAACUUGGAGAGUUGGAGAGAUUAGCCAGGGAAUGGCCAGGGACAAGUGUUCAGACAGGGAACAGCACCCUGGAGUAUGACAGAGGAGAGGGGAUGUGGCUACAGCCCAGCGCAGGUGUGGAGAGUGGUGAAGCAGGAGCAUCUCUAGGCCUGGAGUCUUCACAUUCACAGUGAAGGGUUGGUCCCGCUGGUACCCAGUGUCAGGGUGAGCAGUAGAGCCUCUUGUAGAAGAUGGAUCUCCCAAUACACUGUCCCAGGCCUUUUCCAGUGAACCACAAAACCUUGCAGACGUGUGGUGCUAUAGUGUGAAGAGGGUCAUGAUGGAUCCAGUAAAAGUGCUUCAUUGUAAACUACCACUUUCACAAAAUAGAUGGGUUUCCCAUUGUCCACUAAAAACCAUAAAUUAAGAAAUGAACGUGACAUUGUGUCCUUUUCAUUUCCUGCUGAGUCUGUGAGUGUCCUGCUUGGAGACAAGCUUCAUCUAGAAGAGCUUUUCUCGGAGUGCCAACUCCUUGCCACUUGGGCCUGCCCUGGGUCCUUAGUCCGCCUCUACCCUUCAGGGUUAAGUAGAGGACCCCAGGUGAGCUGUCUAGGUGAAGGAGCAGCUGGAUACAUAAAAAGGUUAAUGACUUGGGAAAUUUUGAUGAUUUGUUAUUCUUCUAAGACACUUAAGUGCUCUCCAUCUCUCCAUCUCUGUCUCAGCAGUGGCCCGCGACAUGGCAGGCAGGCACCUGCGGUUUUCACUUCACUAUUGAUGGGAAUAAGAGGUCUUCAGCUAAAGUUUCAGAUUCAGUAAGUUUACAACUUUUUGUUCCCUUAUAAAUGAUAUGCUUGUCUUAGAGGAAUAAUGAUCUAUGCCAGUCUUCAAUAUAUUGGAGUAAUACACAGGUCUUAUUUAAAGGAAAACAUUCUGGUUCCAAUAAUGCUCUAUUUUUAGUGUAUAGCACUUAACUGUAGUACAAAUGUAAGCAUAGUUACUAACAUUUUUUGCUUAUGGUUCUUAAGUAUCUAUAAACCAGAUUAAAAUUUAAAGCAGCAAAAUAAUAAAAUACCAGUGACCACUGAACAUUAUUCAUUGUGACAGAUGACAUAGGACCCUGAAGCCACUUGUGUGUAGGCUCUUGGUGUUUACUGGGUCUGUUCUGUCCUCUGCUGAAGGCACUAAAAUUUGUUUACAAAUUCUUUUCUCACAAGCUCACAAUAGUUACUGAAUACUAGUUGGCACCUUCUCAGUCCAACACAAACAUGGUCCUGAAACCGGGGGGUGGUCCUCAGUGCUGAGGCAGUUGCCCAGAUGAAUCGGAAUGUGCCUACCUAAUUAAAACAACAUACUGGGGCACCUGGGCGGCUCAGUCGGUUAAGCAUCCGACUUCAGCUCAGUUCAUGAUCUCGCGGUUUGGGAGUUGGAGCCCCGCAUCAGGCUCUGUGCUGACAGCUUUCGAUUCUGUGUCUCCCUCUCUCUCUCUGUCCCUCCCCUGCUUGCACUCUGUCUCUCUCUCCUUCAAGAAAUAAAUAAACAUUAAAAAAAAAAAAUUUACCUUUUCUUGAGAAACUUGCUGACCGCAGGUGGAGAAUCAUGAUCUAUAUACUGCAUUAUGAGCUUAGAUUCACACAAGCAUGUGUAUGAAUAUAUGGCUGUCAACGGAAAAAGAUGAACAGAAAGGAUAAUGGAGUAGGAAAGCCGUAUUUAGAACUAAUAUUUUGAUUUGUGUCGUUGCUUUCCUUUGCUUCCACGGUUCCCUGCUUUGAGGCUGUACCUCUUGUUUUCAACAUUUCACUUCAUGGUGGGUGUCCCAGGUGCUAGGAUGCGUGCUCCCUCUUCGUCGGGUCUGUGUUUCGGUCCUGUCGGUGUGGGGUGUGCCAGCCACACACUCUGGGUCCUGGCACAGGGUGGAGGCCCCUCUGCUGUGGUUGCUCUUUCAUCGCUUCUUCCAUUUUGUCUGAGCUCUUGCACUGCACCCACCGUCCCAAUGUGUGGCAUAGGUAAAUGGGUGGUUGACAGGUGAAUUGUUCCUUUCCAGAUUUCUACGCAAUACCCGGUAGUGGACCAUGAAUUUGACGCGGUGGUGGUAGGCGCUGGAGGGGCAGGCUUGCGAGCUGCGUUUGGCCUUUCCGAGGCAGGGUUUAACACGGCCUGCGUCACAAAGCUCUUUCCUACGAGAUCACACACCGUUGCAGCCCAGGUAAGAGAAAGGGGCCCCCUUAAUGGUUUUGGCGCCUGCACAGCAGUGCUCAGUCUUCUGCCACAGGCCUUCUCACUGCACGCCAGCCAUGUUCCUGUCUCUCUGCUCCUUGCACCCACCUGGCUUACUCGCCUUGGGAGUGUGUUCCCACACUGCCUCCACCCCCACUGCCGGAGUCACUCCUAGGGCCUCUUAUCGCUCUGCUGCUCCAGUGACACUCAGGUCUUCUCUGAGCACCCACCUAAUCCUCUGGCCCCCAUCAUAGUUUGUCUUCACUGUACUUUCCCAAUCUAAAAUGAGCCUGUCUCUGGACUGAUUCUCUUGGCCCUGCUGCAUCCUUGGCAUGGGCCUCGUUAAGUAUGAUGAUGAUGAGCUUUGCUGGUGGCAUGAAUGUGCAGGACAGAAGAACAUUGGCCUUUAAAUGCUCAAAAUUUAGGGAAGAGGAUAAAAGUAAGAUGAAAAAGUACACAGUGAUUUUAUAAUUUUGUUUUCUUUCCUGGCACACCGUAGGUGGUACGCAGGUUGUAUAUAGUAUUCCAAAACUGGAAUGAAUUGAACUGUUUUUUCCAGUAUUUGGAACAUAUUUCCUCAUAGAGAUAGCAGAGUGUGGGGUAACUUUCCAGGAACCAGUAAAAGCCACCCUAAUUACUGUUGUAGCCUGUAUUCAGCAUGCAGCAACAUUCUUCAGGCACUUUGCUACACAGAUACUUUGUUCUAAAACUAUGUGUUAUAAACUGAAAAAUAAAUAAUACAUACUUUUGAAGAUUACAUUGUGUCUAAAAGGAAAAAUGGAUGUAAACAUAAGUCUAAAUAAUGAGAAAUAAUAGUAUAUUCAGGUAGUGCAAUAUUAAAACAAUAAAAAGUUAGAAAUGGAUAGCUUACCUUGAAUGCUGGUUGGAGAAAGUAAGGUUUAAUUGGGGGGAUAAGACAGGUGGGGACUGGGCAAGUCUAAAGUGUACUCCUGGGGGGGGCGGGGCACAUGGCUGGCUCAGUCAGUAAAGCGUGCAACUCUUGAUCUCAGAGUCGUGAAUUAGAGCCCUGGGUUGGGUAUAAAGAUUGCUUUUUAUUUUUCUUUGAGUAGGCUCUGUGCCCAGCAUGAGGCCCAGCAUGGGGCUUGAACUCUCGACCCUGAGAUCAAGACCUGAGCUGAGAUCAAGUUGGACACUCAACCGACUGAGCCACUGAGGCGCCCUGAGAUUACUUUAGAAAAACAAAAUUGUAUUUCUUGGGACUCCUGGAAGACCAGCUGUCUGUGGCCCUGAUUCUUACUAGUAGUAGCAAUAAAAUAAUAGCAUGGACAUGUGCACUGGGCCAAGUAUUUAGUGUUAUUUUAAACUAGGUUUCUCUCUUCUGCUACUACUCUGGUACUUAACAGUUUUUACUAGGACUGUGUUUGGGUUUACAAUCGGUGGGGUCGGAGAAGGAGGAGGAAAUAACUUGUGACUUUUGCUGCUUGUCUUGUUAGGGUUCCUGGCUUUGUGCUGGUGACUCUUUUCUUGAUAACUGAAACAUAAUGGGAAACUGAGGCACAGCAGCACCAAGCGGGGAAAGAAUUCCUGCAUGGGUCUGCUUGACUCAGAAGCUUGAUUGAGGAACAUUUGCAAAAAAGAGGGAAGUCAGAAAAUGUGCCUUUUCUUCUCAAAAAGAGAUGAGUAAUCCGGUUUUAAGUUGCGGAGGAAAAGUGUGAGUGUUACAUUUGUCCCUGUACUGCCAUUUUCUGUGACUCUGAGAGACAGACACGGUAGAGAGAAUGUGACUCUGAGUUUAGAGUUUAUUCCUUGACCGUAAGUACUUCUUUAACACAUGUCCAUAAAUGCCACUGGGAACAUUUUGUCAUAAAAUUAUCCCAGAUGGAUUUGCUCAAUACCUUUUAUGUGCCAGGUUUGGAGGUGACGAGCAUUGCUCAUAAAACCGCACUUAACCCUCCAGAUGGCUCUCGAGUUCAGCUUCAUGUCCCUUCAUGGGUAAGGGCACUGAGGCUGAGGGAGGUAAGAUUUGGCGUCUGUCGUGCCUCUCCCUGCUCAGGACGGUCCUGUAACCAACCAGACUGCAGUCAGGUCCCUCACAUGCCGUUGUUGUCAAAAUUAGUUGGUUUUCUCUGAAUCCAGUUUUGGGCAGUGGGUGGAAGGGGGAUGGGCCUGGAAGGUCCAGGGUUCCCUUUCGUAGCUUGUAAGUCUGCCCUGUGUUUACAGGGAGGGAUCAAUGCUGCUCUGGGGAACAUGGAGGAGGACAACUGGAGGUGGCACUUCUACGACACUGUGAAAGGCUCCGACUGGCUGGGGGACCAGGAUGCCAUCCACUACAUGACAGAGCAGGCCCCUGCUUCCGUGGUAGAGGUACUGUCCUUGCAUGGUCUGUUUCUGGUAGAAAAGAGAGGUCGAGGCAAAUGUGGUCAGCCCAAGGAAUGGUAACCAGUUGAUGUAACAAGGGAAAUCUUUCCUAUCAUUAACCAUUCAGUUCAUUUAAUAACAAAGUUUUUCUCUUUUCCUGAAGUGUUGAAAUUUUCAUAGAACGUAUUGGUUUGGGUUUACAGGUUUAUGUUGAAAUUGUUUAGUGUAAAUUAGCGAUGAAUAUCCCGAUUCCUUCAAGGUCCUGGGUGUUUGUUUUCACAUUUCACAGCUGGAGAAUUAUGGCAUGCCAUUCAGCAGAACUGAAGAUGGGAGGAUCUACCAGCGCGCUUUUGGUGGACAGAGCCUCAAGUUUGGGAAAGGCGGGCAGGCCCAUCGGUGCUGCUGUGUGGCUGACCGCACUGGCCACUCGCUGCUGCACACGUUGUAUGGAAGGGUGAGGCCACCCUGGGUGCAUGGGGUGACAGGACAUGGUCUGGUUAGGCCAGGCAUGUGGUGAUGAGCUGGAAACAGGCCACUCUGGGACAGGUCAGAAGGUCAGCAUGUCAGCCCUGGGGUUGCUUAAUAAACAGCAGACUAACAUGGCAGGAUGUAUAUUUGUUAAUUGUUAAUUUGAAAGUGUCUAUUUUAGAAAAUUAAAUUGAUCUGCCAUACCGAAAGUAUAAGAACAGAGCAAGUAUUUUAGGACUCAGCACCUCUGAGUCCCUGAACUAAUUGAUUUAAUACUUAAGUGUUCAAACUGGACUAAGGUUUGGGGGACAGUAGUUACUGGAUAAUCAGGGCCUACUUUGGCAUAGCCAAGUAAUCAAUAUUUGGAAUAACUCUGAUUCAUAAUAUUCAGUAUUCUGAAUUCUUGCUCUCAAAUGGGGACAGAUUCUUGAUUUGCAAAUGUUAGGACCCUGGUGGCAGCUUCGGCUGAGUGCAUUGACACACGUGUGACAGGAUCUGCCCAUCCUGCAGCAUACUGUGUCAUGUUGGGGAGCUGGUGGUUUUGUGAGAGCCCUUCAUGUUUACUGAGCAGCUACAGCAUCUUCUCUGACAUGCAUGACAUGUGUAUGUCCUUCUUAUGGUCUGAUCUGAUCAUACAGCUGAGAGCAGGGUACCUUUCGUGUUGAUCCACAACAGCAUCAGCACUAUGGUUGAUGCAAGUAAAGUCUGUGGCUUCUUUUGCAGCCCAGGGUUUACCCUGUCCAUUUGUUACACACCACAUCAGAGCCCUUGACUUGUUCAUAUGAGCAGUGUUGCUGAAAUGUUAGUUUAACACCCUAAAUGCAAUUGAAACUGUGGGAUUCUUUUUUCUUUCAUGUUUUUUAGUCUCUGCGAUAUGAUACCAGCUAUUUUGUAGAGUAUUUUGCUUUGGAUCUCCUGAUGGAAAAUGGAGAAUGUCGUGGUGUUAUUGCGCUGUGCAUAGAAGACGGGUCCAUCCAUCGCAUAAGAGCAAAGAACACUGUUGUAGCUACUGGGUAGGAGUCUAACUUGUAUUUAGUUUUUCUGCAGGAAAGUUGGGUCUCCGAGUUUCUUUAAAAAAAAAAAAAAUGGAGGCAGUGACCUAACCCAGGAGCAUAAUAAGCUUUGCCAGUCUCAGUUCCAUGUCUCCAAAGGGGACAAUCAUAGCACCUGCCUCAGGUGGGUGAGGAAGUAUCUGUCUUCAGUUUGCACCUGAGAGGACCCUUGAGGAAACGGGUCUGGAGAGUCACGUGACACUUCCUGGCUUAACCUGUCUUUUGCUUUAGUGGACACUGUGUUUAUACUGAUUUCUGGUGUAGAUAAGUGCUGUUUGUUCACAUGAUGAAACUAAAUUACAUUUCUUACAUUGUCAGUCCGUUAUUUUAACCCUUUACAAGAGUGAGUCCAUAAAGCAAAAAUUUCAGCAUUAAAGCAGCACACGCUUCUCAGGGAGGUCGUUCAGAUAGCAUGAAAGUGCCUUGAAGUAUAAACGAGAGUGCCUCCUCCGUCUCCCAGGCUCCCGCCCCAGUUGCCCAGGGUAGCGCGUGCAGACAGCACCUGUCACGGUGCUGCGGGCUGCUCUGUCCGCUCUGGUGCCACUAGAAAGGCGAUCCUGAUGGGACGCCAUGUGUCACUGCUUUCUCUCUGCUGGCCCGUCUGUUUUCCAGAGGCUACGGGCGCACCUACUUCAGCUGCACAUCUGCCCACACCAGCACCGGUGACGGCACUGCCAUGGUCACCAGGGCAGGCCUUCCCUGCCAGGACUUGGAGUUCGUUCAGUUUCACCCCACAGGUAGGACGGGACCACUUUCAUGGGGUCAGGACUCUCAUACCUCUCGAUGCCCCUCUGUAGUCCCACACACUAGCACAUUCUCAGAGCCCAGCUUGUCAUUUGCUCAAGGAAGUUUUUUCCAUUUCUCCCGAGGCAGUUUAGGCCACCACCUUGCCUUGGCGAUACCUGCUCCAGUCGUAAAGCUGGAGCUUUAUGUAAAGACUGUUCAGUGUCCCUCUCCCCAACUCGAUUGUCAGCUCCCGGAGGUGGGGACAGGUGCUGCAGUUCACAGUGCCUGGCACAUAGUAGGACCUCAUCAGUGUUUCCUGAGUGAAUGUCCCGAGAGCUGUUGAUCAGAGUUGUGGCAUGGGCAGAUUCCAGUGUUACAGGGAAAACAUCAGGCUGUCCAGUAGAGUAUAAAGUCGGAACGAGCUAUGGCAGAUGCGGCCCCCUGAGAUGUUAAUGACUGUGGUGCCAUUUGUGGGCACAUUGAGCUCAUCUUGCGUCCUCAGACAGUUGAGUGUGCAAAUGUGGAGUUCAGACGGGAGGUCUAGGCUGCAGGUGCAGAAUUGAGAGAGUUCGUUAUUCAGAUAUGAAUUGGAGAGAGAGAUCUGCCUCUUGGGACAGGCAAGUCUCAAUCUGGACUUUGUUUCUAGUUGCUUUUCUGACCUGUCAACUGAGGGGACACCACACUUUGUGGAAGUAGCCUCCCGCCAUGCUAAAGAACCAGACCUGGGUUUUCUCUUUGCUCUGUCAGUAUAUUUUUUCUGAUCCCUGGCAGGGAUAAAAAGUAAAAAAUGUUUUAGGUAGUUUUUUAAUACUGGUUUUGGGGGUUUUUGUUUUGUUUUAAAGUUUACUUAUUUAUUUUGAGAGAGAACAUGUGAGCGGGAGAGGAACAGAGAGACCAGGAGAGAGAGAAUCCCAAGCAGGCUCCGUCCUGUCAGCAUGGAACCUGACUUGGGGCUCUGGCUCCCAAACUGUGAGAUCAUGACCUGAGCCAAAAUCAAGAGUCAAAACACAAUCGACUGAGCCACCCAGGUGCUCCAGGAAAUUCUUGUUCUUUUUUUUUUUUUUCUUUUAAAAGUUUGUUUAUUUUUGAGAGAAAGAGACAGUGUGAGCAGGGGAGGGGCACAGAGAGAGAGAGACAGAAUCCGAAGCAGGCUCCAGGCCCUGAGCUGUCAGCACAGAGCCUGACUGGGGCUCGACCUCAGCAACCGUGAGGUCAUGACCUGAACUGAAGUCAGAUGCUUAACCAACUGAGCCACUCAGGUGCCUCUGCUUUCUUGUUCUUAAAGCAAGAAAACUCUUCUGGUGUGGUAAUGACAGUUUUAACUUUCAGGUGACAUUGACAUAGGUGUUUGUCUCCUUGUUAAAAUUCAGGUGCUUGGCAUUCCUUAUUGAAGGGACAGUGAGAUUAAGGGCACAGACCUGCCUAGUUGCCAGGUGUGCGUUUGGCUCUGCCUUCCCAGCUGCAGAACACUGACAAGUUCCUAAGCUAUCAUUGCUCUCUCUGAAAAUAGGGAUAUUUCCUGGGGUUGUUACAAAACUUAGAGUUGUAUACAGCAAGUACAGUAUAAGUAUGAACGGUGGUAAUUAUUGCUGUUGUUAACCAGUUUUUAUUUUUUUAUUUUUUUUUUUAAGUUUUUAUUUUUAUUUUCAAGAGACAGAGAGAGACAGAGCAUGAGUGGGGGAGGGGCAGAGAGAGGGAGACACAGAAUCCAAAGCAGGCUCCAGGCUCUGAGCUGUCGGCACAGAGCCCAAUGCGGGGCUCAAACCCAUAGACCGUGAGAUCAUGACCUGAGCCAAAGUCGGACACUCAACCGACUAAGCCACCCAGGCGCCCCAUUAACCAAUUUUUAGAUACGAAUUUUCCAAGCUGGUUUUUCUUACCUAGUCACAAUUUCAUGCUACAAAAGAACAUUCUGCAAUUAAAACAAACCUGAGAUAUUUAACUCAUGCUUGGUUGUGCUGAAAGCUGAAAAGCUGUUGGAAUUGGAAUAUUCAGCCAAGCUGUGUUGUUACUACAUUAGCUGCCCUUUCUCCUCACUGCUGCUUCAUUGGUGCUUUUUGUUGUCAAAACUUCCUACUAUUCCUUACUUAACCUGUCCUUUGUCUUAUUCUGUUGUGAGCAUCAUGCCCCUUGCAUACCCUUUUCCUUUCCACCCCCAGAAACGUAUUGGAAAAAAAUUUGCAUUUGAAAUAUUGACCUAGCAAUUGUUAGGUUAUAAUCAUCUAAUUAACUGGGUUCUUUGCAGGUAUAUAUGGUGCCGGUUGUCUCAUUACAGAAGGGUGCCGUGGAGAGGGAGGCAUUCUCAUUAACAGUCAAGGCGAAAGAUUCAUGGAGCGAUAUGCCCCGGUUGCAAAGGACCUGGCAUCCAGAGACGUCGUGUCUCGGUCCAUGACUCUGGAAAUACGUGAAGGAAGGUCUGUGUCAUUCUAUCCAAAGGUGUCUGAGUGCACACACACACAUGCACACCCUCCUUUCUCUUGGGUGGCUGCUAUUCAAGUCUACAUGUGCACCUGGGCUGGUGUGGCUUCUGUGUGAGUUUUAGCAACUCACCUACCCCACCCAACUCUGAGUAGGCUGCCUCUCCUCCCCUCUGAUGGUUGUUUGUCAAUUUAUGAUAUCCCUCUAAAAACCUACAUUUUGGGAAGUUAAGCUGGUUUGACUUCAGUCUCUCUCAAAUCUGUGGAACAUCAAUUGUGUGUAUGAGUGUUAUGAUAGAGACAGACACUCUGUGUGGGGGAGCAAGACACACAUGCCCACAACCUAAGUUAGCAUAUGGGCCUUCGGUGCUGUUUGGGGACCCACAUGCGUUCGAGACCUUCACUGUGCAGGCUCUUGAGUGCCAGUGCUGCCUUACGAUGGUGAUCUUUCUUGUAUCUUUGAUGUUAUAACUUCUAGAGAUUUUAUAUUUGGAGUGUUUGCAUUAAAAGGACUUUCUAAUGCAUUUACCAAGGAAAACAGCUAAUUGUGACUUCCUAAGACUAGAGUAUGAGCUCAGUGAGGGCUGGAAGUCUGUCCAUGUUCUGGCUGUGUCCUACCACAUUCAGUCUACCCUGUCACAGAGCAGGUGCUCAGAGGAGAUGUGAAGAAUGGAUGGCCACAAGUGAAGGGAAAUUUUGUACAGCAUAAAAAAAUGUAAACUCAUAGUCUCACAUUUUCUAUAAUUGCCGUUUUUUGCCUCACACCGUGAUGUCCUUUUCCACCAGAGGCUGUGGCCCUGAAAAAGAUCACGUCUACCUGCAGUUGCACCACCUACCCCCAGAGCAGCUGGCCAUACGGCUGCCUGGCAUUUCAGAGACGGCCAUGAUCUUCGCAGGUGUAGAUGUCACCAAGGAGCCCAUCCCCGUCCUUCCCACCGUGCAUUAUAACAUGGGCGGCAUUCCUACCAACUACAAGGGGCAGGU
Molecule: long non-coding RNA, 16474 nt
Filed under: Lynx pardinus (Iberian lynx)
Lineage: Eukaryota; Metazoa; Chordata; Mammalia; Carnivora; Felidae
Source: RNAcentral